GAUGAACGCUGGCGGCGUGCCUAAUACAUGCAAGUCGAGCGAACGGACGAGAAGCUUGCUUCUCUGAUGUUAGCGGCGGACGGGUGAGUAACACGUGGAUAACCUACCUAUAAGACUGGGAUAACUUCGGGAAACCGGAGCUAAUACCGGAUAAUAUUUUGAACCGCAUGGUUCAAAAGUGAAAGACGGUCUUGCUGUCACUUAUAGAUGGAUCCGCGCUGCAUUAGCUAGUUGGUAAGGUAACGGCUUACCAAGGCAACGAUGCAUAGCCGACCUGAGAGGGUGAUCGGCCACACUGGAACUGAGACACGUUCCAGACUCCUACGGGAGGCAGCAGUAGGGAAUCUUCCGCAAUGGGCGAAAGCCUGACGGAGCAACGCCGCGUGAGUGAUGAAGGUCUUCGGAUCGUAAAACUCUGUUAUUAGGGAAGAACAUAUGUGUAAGUAACUGUGCACAUCUUGACGGUACCUAAUCAGAAAGCCACGGCUAACUACGU
This 496-nucleotide ribosomal RNA is filed under the name uncultured bacterium. Its description in RNAcentral is "partial 16S ribosomal RNA". It matches the Rfam family "Bacterial small subunit ribosomal RNA", at positions 28 to 506 of the family's 1533-position model. The record is from RNAcentral.